GGAUUAUAUGGGAUGUAAAUGGUGGAGCGUGUCGCACUAGAUGGGCUGUAAGACUGUGAAAUUAUAUCAGGUUUAGUGUGAUUUUAUAGCUCCUGAACAGAUGGAAGACAGUUCGUAAUAGCACUACCUGAGCGACUCCGUGCAUUCGUUGUUGCAUUGAGUCCAGCAGCAGCUGACGGGCCGCGACAUCUGUCCCUCCAUCAAACAUCCCAACAAUCACAUUAUGCAAUCUAUAGUCCUAUAAGCAGAUUCAGCAUCAUAUAGGCACCAUGUGAUUGCCUUGAGAUCCAUUAACCCCCCCAUGCACUUUUACUUCUUCCCAGCUUUCCAGAGGCUGUUGGGUUUAACGACUCUGAAGUGUGUGCACCAUCACGCAUCCUGCCGAAGGAGGAAAGAAGAAUGCUGAUGACCUGUUACGUUUUUAUGUCUUCCAUAAAUUACUCCAUUAGGAUCUCCAUAAAGUGCUGCAGAAGGCGGCUAGUGCAGAAAACAGCUAACAGCUGUUAGCCUCCAUUGAGCUUAUCUGCUGUUGUAAUUAGAUGCGGAGAACCAGCACGUUCACACUGUCAGAGCAUCAUGUGCUGCUGGUGUAGAGCGGUACUAUCUAUCUAUCUAUCUAUCUAUCUAUCUAUCUAUCUAUCUAUCUAUCUAUAUAUCUAUAUAUCUAUCUAUCUAUCAUCCUGUUGCUCUGUCUGUCGUUCCAUCACACUAUUUAUCACUCUCUCUCUAUUGUCCUGUCGCUCUACCGUUCCAUCAAUGUAUCUGUCGUUCUGUCACUCUAUCUGUCUCUGUUGUUCUGUUGCUCUACCAUUCCAUUGUUUUAUUAUUAUGUCGCCAAAUCCGCUGUUUGUACCUUUUUACAUUUUUCUGCCGCUCAAUCUGUCGCUCUGUCUCUAUCAUUCCAUCGCUGUAUCUGUCACUGUCUCUAUCAUUCUGUCGCUCUAUCAUUCCAUUGCUUUAUCUAUCAUUCUGUCACUCUUCAUUCUAUUGCUUUAUCUAUAAUUC
Molecule: long non-coding RNA, 1005 nt
Organism: Cyprinus carpio carpio
Lineage: Eukaryota; Metazoa; Chordata; Actinopteri; Cypriniformes; Cyprinidae
Source: Ensembl